CCGCAUUAGUGAUUGCAGCGGCAUCCUUUUUUAGGCCGAUGGGAAAGUAAAGUAUUAAAAACAUCUAUGAUGUUCUGGGCAUAAAAAAGAUAUAGCGGAAAGCACGGCCACUU
Molecule: small RNA, 113 nt
Filed under: Arenibacter palladensis
Lineage: Bacteria; Pseudomonadati; Bacteroidota; Flavobacteriia; Flavobacteriales; Flavobacteriaceae
Description: Flavo-1 RNA
Rfam family: Flavo-1 RNA
Source: RNAcentral